GGGCUCCACGUUGGGACUGUUGGAAGGUCAACGACCAUCAGGGUCACCGACAGCAACGGGCUGUUUGUUAAUAAGACUUUAUUAACAAACAGGAUUAUUUCAUCUCCAACUGAGUUAAUUUCCCGUGGAUAAAUGAUGAAGGCCGUCUGAGCAGACAUGACGGUAAAGGAAGCACAUUGAUAAAGACGGACCAGGUGAGUAUCGGCGGCAGAGAUUCCUGCUCACAGGUGUGGGAGGAAGAGGAGUCGGGAGGAGAAAGGAGCUGGAAAAAAAUCCAAAUGUCUGGAUUUUCACACCGUUAAUUCAGCCGUGCAGAGCUUCAUCGCACCAUUCUCUCACUCUUCUCCGCUCCUGUCGGAAACAUGCUAAUUAGGGAAGCCGACUGACGUGAGCGAGGUUUAAAGGGUAAUUAGCAUAAAAAUCCUACAUGCUGUA
Molecule: long non-coding RNA, 435 nt
Organism: Poecilia latipinna (sailfin molly)
Lineage: Eukaryota; Metazoa; Chordata; Actinopteri; Cyprinodontiformes; Poeciliidae
Exons: 2
Source: RefSeq, a predicted model, not a curated record